Non-coding RNA from Anolis carolinensis (green anole), 40 nucleotides. It matches the Rfam family "7SK RNA", at positions 35 to 74 of the family's 331-position model. Rfam says of the family: 7SK was discovered as an abundant small nuclear RNA in the mid-70s but a possible function has only recently been suggested. NCBI's taxonomy places the organism in Eukaryota, Metazoa, Chordata, Lepidosauria, Squamata, Anolidae. The record is from Rfam.
CCCCAUUGAUUGCCAGGGUUGAUUCGGCUGAUCUGGCUGG